Molecule: transfer RNA, 72 nt
Filed under: Microcaldota archaeon
Lineage: Archaea; Nanobdellati; Microcaldota
Also listed under: 1 other name
Description: tRNA-Thr
Rfam family: tRNA
About the family: Transfer RNA (tRNA) molecules are approximately 80 nucleotides in length. Their secondary structure includes four short double-helical elements and three loops (D, anti-codon, and T loops).
Source: RNAcentral
GCCUCGGUAGCUCAGCGGUGGAGCGAUCGCUUCGUAAGCGAUAGGUCGGGGGUUCAAAUCCCUCUCGGGGCU